ACUGAGUUAACUUGCUCAUGUAGUGCUAGUGCAGGCUCUCUCUUACUUGCUCGUGGGCCUUUGUGUCGGUCGGCUGUCUGCUGGCCUGGUGGUCUGUGUCCCGACUAUGUGUAUGGCAGGUCUGCGAGUCACCGGUGGGCAUUGGACUUGGCCUUAGGGGCCCUUUUCGGGAUUGUGUCUGUUUCUAGUAGGCGCUGGAGGAAUGUUCACCAUCAGGGGGUAAGGUUAGUGUUUCCUCCCCUCUCUGUGUAAUCAAUGGUCUGUCCGCCCCCCACC
Pelobates cultripes (western spadefoot toad) is the source of this 276-nucleotide non-coding RNA. The record is from the annotation of a GenBank genome assembly. NCBI's taxonomy places the organism in Eukaryota, Metazoa, Chordata, Amphibia, Anura, Pelobatidae.